GCCCUUAGAGUUUGAUCCUGGCUCAGGAUGAACGCUGGCGGUAUGCUUUACACAUGCAAGUCGUACGAGAGUUUUUAACUCAAGUGGCGGACGGGUGAGUAACCACGUAAGAAUUUGCUUUUAGGAGGGGGAUAACAACUGGAAACGGUUGCUAAUACCCCAUUAUGCUUUCGAGUAAAAUUGAUUUUCCGCCNUAAAGAAGAAGCUUGCGGCUGAUUAGCUUGUUGGUGAGGUAAUGGCUCACCAAGGCGACGAUCAGUUUUUUGUUUUGAGAGGACGAUCAGACACACUGGAACUGAGACACGGUCCAGACUCUUACGGGAGGCAGCAGUGGGGAAUUUUUCCGCAAUGGGCGAAAGCCUGACGGAGCAAUACCGCGUGAGGGAUGACGGCCUAUGGGUUGUAAACCUUCUUUUUUCAGGGAGGAAUCAAUGACGUGUACCUGAAGAAUAAGCAUCGGCUAACUCCGUGCCAGCAGCCGCGGUAAGACGGAGGAUGCAAGUGUUAUCCGGAAAUCACUGGGCGUAAAGCGUCUGUAGGUGGUCAAAUAAGUCAACUGUUAAAUCUUGAGGCUCAACCUCAAAAUCGCAGUCGAAACUAUUCGACUAGAGUAUAGUAGGGGUAAAGGGAAUUUCCAGGUGGAGGGGGUGAAAUGCGUAGAGAUUGGAAAGAACACCGAUGGCGAAGGCACUUUACUGGGCUAUUACUAACACUGAGAGACGGAAAGCUAGGGUGGCAAAUGGGGAUUAGAUACCCCAGUAGUCCUGGCCGUAAACAAUGGAUACUAGAUGUUGAACAGAUCGACCUGUGCAGUAUCAAAGCUAACGCGUUAAGUAUCCCGCCUGGGAAGUAUGCUCGCAAGAGUGAAGCUCAAAUGAAUUGACGGGGAAGGGC
Molecule: ribosomal RNA, 894 nt
Filed under: uncultured bacterium
Lineage: Bacteria
Description: bacterial SSU rRNA
Rfam family: Bacterial small subunit ribosomal RNA
Source: RNAcentral